RNAcentral lists this transfer RNA (65 nucleotides) under Drosophila biarmipes. RNAcentral's name for it is "tRNA-Asn". The record is from RNAcentral. Lineage: Eukaryota; Metazoa; Arthropoda; Insecta; Diptera; Drosophilidae.
UUAAUUGAAGCCAAAAAGAGGCGUAUCACUGUUAAUGAUAUAACUGAGAAUUGUCUCCAAUUAAG